Molecule: non-coding RNA, 6246 nt
Organism: Paramisgurnus dabryanus
Lineage: Eukaryota; Metazoa; Chordata; Actinopteri; Cypriniformes; Cobitidae
Source: RefSeq, a predicted model, not a curated record
UAGAUGAGUGACAUACAUACUUUAAUCAGUGCUGGACUGGUAAUCUGGCAUACCGGGCAAAUGCCCGGUGGGCCGACGUCCUUGGGGGCCGGUGAAUAUAAUAUGAUUAUUUUUUUAUUGGCCAACGACCGGCCCAUAAAGCAGGGACAGCGGCCCAUUGGUUCAUUUUCCAUACUGACACUGGGCUUGCCCAAUCAUCUCUUAACAAGCUCCACCCCUCUGUUUCUUGUGUCAGAUGGACAGAGCGAUGAUCUGACACAAGAAACAGAGAGCGAGUAUCAUACAGACGUAACAUACAUCUGACACUAUUUUUGUCUGACCAGCCCAUAACACUUGUACAUCGCGCAACGCAGCCCGUUGCUUUCUUUCUUUGUUUUAAUUUAAUUCAUUAAUGGCGCUAAAAGGUGCGGUGGCAAUGUAUCGCAUUUUCCAAAAAAGUUAGCGUAAGAUUAUUAUUUUUUGAACAGACCGGCCCAGGAGACACCUAAUCAGCAGCCCAUUGGUUCUUUUUUAUUUGACAUUUGGCUAGCCCAAUCACACCUUUUAGGGCAUUUUAUGAAGCAUGCAGCGUCAGUGUGCGUCUGUCAAAAUAAGAGACUACUGAGUACCGAGUGGACGUGUGGUAAGCAGAACUGCAUCUAAAACACAUUUGUUAGAUAUCCUAUUGAUAAAACACAGUCAAAAACACUAGUGAUAGACCAAUUGCUGUUUGCAAAAUGACUUUGAUUACACUGCAAUAAAAUACAGUGUGGGCAGAAUUAUUAGGUAGCUACAUAAAACUUUUGAUCACAGUUUUUAUCAAACAUAUUUUACUAAUUCCAAACCAAAUUAAUCUUAAUAACUACCAUUCAUUUUGUAAAUAAGGCAUUUAUAAGUAAUACAUUAUUGUUAAUGAUGUCUGGCUGGAGAAAAAAACACCUUAUAUUCAAGUGUGCAGAAUUAUUAGGCACAUUUUCUUUUCAUUUAAAAUGGGCCAAAAAACACACUUUUAACACACACACACUGGAAAUUCAUUAUUUGAUGUCCAUAACAAAGAUGCCAUGCAUGGAAAUUGCAAAAUUGAGGUAUACAAGAAAUCCUGAUUCGGGCAGCAAGGGCAUUAAAUAGGAUAAAAGGAAAAGAUAUAUACAAAAUUAAUGUUGGUUAUUAAAAUUACUGUGUUUUGGAAUUGGUAAAAGGUGUUCAGAAAAAAAGUGAUCAAAAUAUUCUGCACACACUGUAAUGGGACUCAGCCACGAGAGUGCGACUUCAUUGUAACAUUUAUCAGGUCUUGGUGUUAUCAUAAGGUGUUCAGAAUGGUUAGUUUAAACAUUGUGCAUUCACUGGCUAAUACUAUUUUUAAAACCUGCAAAGCCUUUUACAGCGCUUACAUUUUUGUAAUGUCACGUGUCAGCUCUUAUACUUUUCUACUUAAUCAUUGUGUGGAGUUGGUAGUCAAGUUUGCACAGAGAUUUGGGAUCCUAUGUAGUGGGCCGGUCUGGGCCAAAAUGCCAGGGCCAAUUUUUUGUCCCAGUCCAGCCCUGACUUUAAUUCUUACACGUUUCUAGUCUUCUAUUAAGUUUUCUCGACGUGGGCACCAUUCUUACCUCUCUCUCUUUCGCUCGCUCUCUCUCUCCUCUACAAUGUCAAAUGAUCCUGUGUGAGAGGGGGUUCUUGCAGUUCUGAGUUUUUUCGCUUGAGUUGCAUAACUUGCGCGAAGACGCAAGGGGAAACGCGUGUUUUCGCGGCAAUUGCGCCGCCCAAUUCGCGUCAUUUGCAUCGCCCUGUGAGGACGCACCUGGUUGCGUAUUUGCAUUGACUUUGUAUGUAAUCUGUUCGCGCAAAUCGUUAAACUUGCGUUGGUGAGUAUGCCCUAUAAUGAAUGGAAACGCAUUAUUCCCUUCACUUCAGUGCACACGCACCAGCGCAGCGAGUGCACGUGCACAAGCGCAGCUGGUACACUGGCAAGAGCAGAGCAUCAGCCUAUGUGCCGGGGCUUAGCCCCGGACGGCCCCGUUGAAAACCCGUGAGAAAGCCUGGGAAGAGCGGAUAGCAACGAAUAUGUGAUUGGGCCCGCCGACUGUCAAUCAAAUUCUUCCAGAUCGGGCGGCCCCUGAUUGGUCCGGGCCCGUAAGCAACGCUUACCCUGCUUACCGAUAGUUACGCCCCUGAGUUUAAUACAAGUGUUAAAUAAAUACAUUUUUUAAAACAGAGAUAGUAUGUUAAAAGUGCAUUUUAGUUCAUAUUAGGGCUGUCACUUUUGAGAAAAAUCUAAUUCGAACGGAUAUCGAAUUUCAUGCAACUGCGGAUGUCUCAACAAAAGUUGAGCCUGUAAACCCUCAUGUUGAGUUUGUUUGUUAUGCAGUAGACCUCACUUAAAGUUGAAAAGCGCGCGCCUUGCCUCUUCAAGAACACAACAGGUUGCAUCAGUUUAAACCAUUAAGCGCAUUGUGCUUUGUUUGCGACGCAGGCACACAGAAUAUGCGCAUAUAGGCUACAGCGGAUGUCUGGAUACUGGUUUGAAGAUGUAAUGUGACUGCUAGCUUUAAAUCGCAGCACGUAAUUCCUAUUUAAAGUGCUGUUGAACGUUGGCAACGUAUGUUUCGCCCGAAAUGGUGGUGCCACCAGCUAUACAGAAUACAAACACAAUUCCUUCUCGUUUUAACAUGGAACCCAAUGGAAAUAAUGUCUAAAUAUUUAUUCGAGUGGUGUUAUGUUCAAAUAUAGUGGUGUUCGAUUAUCUUAUGUGUCUCAACUAUUUAAUUCUAAUCGUCAUAUGCUGUUUUAAUGAAUUCCAACAUGACUGGAGAAUUGGAAUGCAUCUGAAAUAACUUGUUUCUAAUUUAAUACAAUGUUUCAUUUUAAACCUGGAAUAUACCACAGGAAUUUUGCACUCUGACAAGUUGUAGCAGCAAACGCAUUGUGCGGUGAUCAUGCUGAAUUUCUGAUACUGUCAGAAAACUAUUGUAGGCUAUCUUGGACGCAAAACCAGGCAAACGUCUGUCUUUAAACUUCUCCCACCGUACGACACUGUACCACCGACGCAGAGCCACGAUCAUACAAUUCGUGAUGUUUCACGAUGGGAAUCUUUCGUCUGGGAAAGCCAAAACUCAUGCAGUUAUGAUUCUAAAUGAUAACUUUACAAGGAACUUUGUCUGGAAUUAGAUGCGUACAAUCCACUUAAUCUGCAUCCUCAAGGAAAUAGCGAAACAUGCAUCAACUUUCCUAUAACCACAUUACACCGGCUGCUAGGAUUUAAACCAUUAUAACAGCGCGGCUGCAUACAUGAGGCAAGCUAUUUUAAAACUAUACAUGUUUUUACACAGACUACAGACAUGCAGUUCUAUAAGUGCUUUAUUUUCAGUGCCUGCAUUAACAUCAGGGCUCUUUAUCAAACUUCCAGGAACUCUAAUUGCAAAUGGCUGCAAGGAUUUGAACAUGCAUAAUUGCUACAUGUACAAGAAAUAAGCUUUCCUUAGUAUUUGGCCGUGCUCACUUGCCGCGUGCACGCAGGUUGUCACGUUUCACGUCCACGGUUGUGUAUGGUGCAGACUUUGAUCGUUUCUGGAAUGCCAGCGUGGCGGAGGAUCUUCAUUAAACAAAUAAUUCAGAACUUCUUAAGUGCAUAUCAUGUAAGACUGUUAGCACAAAACUGUCACGUUUAAUCAUGCUGUGUUUAAGUUUACAGUUUAAGCUGUAAACUUUCAUCUAGAUGGCUAUUACUUUCAGAGUACGUCCAUCUAUCAACUGCACAACCCUACUGAUACCGCUCCUCAGUUUUUGGGGGGUCUUAAUUUAUGUCGUAAACGGAGAAUUUUAUAAUCCUCUGUGUGUCAUGGCGAAGCAAGCAAGACAAGGCAACGGAUCCAAAUGCAAUGGUUUAUUUCUAAAGCCCUAUUCGGACGGGAUUAGUUUUACGGGGGUACAUGGAGUAAUGUAACUUUACCACAGGACAUCUGUAAUGCUGAUGUCCAAUUCGGACGGGAUCAGACAAUCUCAGUAAAACAUUCAGAAGUGGGAGGGGUAACUCGAUUACGCAGCACAGUCACCUCCCUCGUCGUCACGUGGACAUUACGUCGCUUCCUGAUUUCACGUGUAAACACGCAACAUGGCGCCGUCCAAAAAAACGCGAAACUGGACCAGGGAAGAAACGCUAUGUUUAAUCUCGGUUUGGGGAGAGCGUCUGUUUCAAAAACAGUUUGAGAGCAUGGUGCAUAACCACACAAUAUGGGAACAGAUUUAUGGAUUAGUUGUAAGUAAAUGUCCAAAAGUAGCUGAAGAUUUUGGGGACUGGGGAAAGCUGAAAGAAAGAAUCGACUACCUGAAAAGAAAGUACAGAGAGUGCAUUAAACACAACAAACGGACUGGCAGUGAUCCGACAAAGUCUCCAUAUUUUGAAGAAAUGGAUGCGGUUUUAGGUAAGAUUACAUUGUUAUCUGGGACUUUAGCUUCAUACAGCAAUAUACGAGUAAACUAUUGUCUACUUUAGGUUGCCGACCAAUGACAGACCCGCGCGACGAUCAUAUGGAUAAUCGAAGUUCUGAAGACGAACGCCAAUCUGAAUUUGACGUAUAUACACUUGUCUUUACAGUGCCCAGCACUCCUUCAUCCUACCCCGAGCAAGAUUCUGCAAGUACCACAACAGAAUCUUCACCUGAGAGUCAAGGGGAGGUUGCAGGACCAAGUACAAAUCAAGCAAGAGUUCCACGGCCAGAUCCAUCACCAAGCAAUGACCCCUUUACAGCCCACGUGAUCAAAUAGCCUGCGCGCGCAUUUCGGCAUCAGAAGUGGUGUUAUUCCCCAUUGGUUUUAACUUGUUAGCAACUCAGAAAGUUUAUUAAAAUUGUUUCCCAGCAUCAAAAUGUCUGGUUGUUGCGUUUGGUUGCACUAAUAUAAUAUACGUAUAUAUGUAUCUGGCAACUUUAUUUUUGGCCAUCUGUAACUGUUAAAAAGUUGAUAAAGCCAACUUUUUAAAAUAACUCUAUGUUGCUACACUGCUGAUUCUUGCCAUACUUCCGUUGCAAAACUGCGUGCGCAUACGUUGCCACGUCAUCAUUGUGUACAAACAGUAAAAGGGUCCAUAUGUGUGUUUGUGGGUGUGUGUAUAUAUUUUCCAGCACAAAUCAGCUUCAGGUGUUGGCUAUGUGCAGUACGAGAGGGACAGAUUGGAAUGGGAGAAGGAAGCUGAGAGAAACCGGAUGGAUUUUGAGAGGCGUCGCCUUGACUUCGAAAUGAGAAGGAUGGAGGCUGAAGAGCGGCGUGCAAGGGAUAACAGAGAACUGAUGUUGCAGUUAUUUAAGUGCAUUAGGCCAAUGGCCCUUUCUUCCACCUCAUUGAUUUCACGUUGUGCAGUUUGAAUAUCAUCAUUGAUGUGUUCCUGUGGCUGCUCAGGGGCACGUAAACGUAAAGGAAAGAAAACACAACUCAUGGAAGCUGUGGAGAAGGGCCUUGAUCGCAUUUUCCAGCACGAAUCAGCUUCAGGUGGUGGCUAUGUGCAGUAUGAGAGGGACAGAUUGGAAUGGGAGAAGGAAGCUGAGAGAAACCGGAUGGAUUUUGAGAGGCGUCGCCUUGACUUCGAAAUGAGAAGGAUGGAGGCUGAAGAGCGGCGUGCAAGGGAUAACAGAGAACUGAUGUUGCAGUUAUUUCAGUGCAUUAGGCCAAUGGCCCUUUCUUCCACCACACCAUUCAAUUACGGUCCAUACCCUAACUAUCAUGAACCCUUCUGAGGUUCAUUUUGGCCCCCCUGCUCCAAAUGCCACACCUGUCUCUGGCCCAGUGCACCACUCUCAUCCCCCCUCUUUUUCAUAAAGUAUAUAAAGUAGUUGUCCUUAACUUGCAAAAGGGUGAGUUCACGAUGUGCAACGUUGUUGUUUUUUUGCACUUUAUUACAGAGAAGAGACACAAUGUUUAAGUGCUUUCAAGUCUUUACACAAAAGUAAUUUUUGUAAAUAAGGUUUAUUUGAGUUUUCACUUACAAAGAAGUUUUGUUAUUACAGUUUACAUUAACAACUGUUGUCUUUAGAAGUUGACAAUAGUUUAACAAAGGUAUAAUGUAACAGUUUUUACUAUUCCUGGAAGAACUUGAAUCAUUUUGUUUUUUUCUGACUGCUGCCCAGAAGCAAAAGUGUAGCAGAAGUUUUGUCUUCAGACCUGGCUGACGUAGUCAGGAGAGAUUCCUGAAUUGUUUUGGCCAUUUUGCCAUUUCAUUUGCUGCCUUUUUUUUCAGUGUUCUCGUUACAACUGAUUAAUAAAAACCUCCAAAGCAUU